GCUGAGCUCAUCCAGCCUCACAUUUUAUUAUUUUAGGAGAGAGAGCUGUUUUGGUUUGUGAUACAAGAGACGAGGCUGUCUCUGCCUUUCACCCAUCGGUAGCUCUCCUCCUGUCCCUGCCUCUAUGCACACACUGCCAGGCAUAGUCUUCCUCCCUCUGUGUGUGUGUGUGUGUGUGUCUCUCUCUCUCGCUUCAGCUCCUAAAACCUAAGAUGCAUCGGAUAUAAAAACACGCACAUAAACACACACACACACACACACACACAUCAACAAGCCAUGGAGAAACAUCAGGAAUUACUGCAAGCUGUCAAAACCGAAGAUGUAGCUGCAAUGCAGAAGCUGUUGCAAAGGCCGAAACAAGGCAAAGCGAAUUCGGAUGUUGGUUCCUGGAAAGCCUCCAUUGUUGGAGGACGAGAAGCCGUAUCCAAUUGAAGCAGCACAGGCUUCUGCGAUGACUGUGGAAACCACUGCUUAUGCCUUGCUUCAAGCGUUGUCAAGGAAUGAUAUUGACUAUGCAACACGGAUUGCGAGGUGGCUAACGAUGCAACAGAACUAUGGUGGUGGAUUUCACUCGACGCAGGACACAAUCAUUGCCUUGGAAGCUUCAUCACGAUACGACAUUGCAUUUCUGAAGAGGGAAGAAGAAAUCAACAUGCAAAUUCAAUUCCAUGGUUUUGGAAGUCCCAUUGAGAACACGAUUCAUUUGCGCCGGCAUAAUGCUCUGACCGAGAAAGAAUUGAGGUAAUUGCAUGACAGUUUGACUGGUUCGUUGAGAGUGAGGAACCUAUGGACUCUCACACACCGAGAUGGAAUUUAGUUCGAAGAGUGACUUCAAAAUGUUCCGCAAGUUUUAGCGUAAACUGGUGGAGACUUUCGGUGCUUGCAAAAAGGCUCACCUCUCCGUUAAUACCGAAGGAAAAUGGGAGUUUAAAAAUGGUUGGAUAUUGGAUUCAUUUUAAAUGAGGAACCAUACGAUUAGACUGUUUUGAUGAGGAAUUUAAAGAUUACGAGUCGUGUCCGUUUGACUCACAGUUUGGUACCAUAGGUUGGUACGAUCUUCGUUGGAGAAGGCAAAGGGAUGUUCCAGAUCCAGAAAAUCGUCAAACCAUUUACUACAAAGUCCGUUUCUGGGUGGAGUUAGUGGAACCGAAAAAGAUGUCUCCCUCACAGCGCUUGUGACACAAGAAUUGCAUCGUUCCUUGGCGGCCUUUCAACAGAAGAAUAUUCAGAGAUUUCCCGAGUGAUUCUGAUGUUGGUUCCUGGAAAGCCUCCAUUGUUGGAGGACGAGAAGCCGGAUCCAAUUGAAGCAGCACAGGCUUUUGCGAUGACUGUGGAAAC
Long non-coding RNA from Stegostoma tigrinum, 1338 nucleotides. RefSeq lists it as uncharacterized. NCBI's taxonomy places the organism in Eukaryota, Metazoa, Chordata, Chondrichthyes, Orectolobiformes, Stegostomatidae. The record is from RefSeq and is a predicted model, not a curated record. The transcript is spliced from 9 exons.